Long non-coding RNA from Gastrolobium bilobum, 633 nucleotides. RefSeq lists it as uncharacterized. The transcript is spliced from 3 exons. The record is from RefSeq and is a predicted model, not a curated record. Lineage: Eukaryota; Viridiplantae; Streptophyta; Magnoliopsida; Fabales; Fabaceae.
CCUUGGAAAAAAGGGGAAGUUUCUUCAAAAAAUUCAAUUGCUUCUAACUUUCUCUAUACACCACCAAAUCAACCAAAGUUUGUGAGCAAAUUUGAUGGAAACCAUCACCCGAACCCAUUCCACCGAUUAGUUUUCCUUGAAAACCUCUCAUUUGUGAGAAAUUAGACAAACUCAGCCACAAAUUCUGAGGAGAAAAUUGGGGUUUUUGUAGUUGUUGCUUAAGCCUUGCUUAGGGAUCAAUUGGAGGAGCCUUGUGACUUAAUUGUGGGCUGAGGAAAAACAUGACAAGAAGAGAAAAGAAACACUGUCAGAAUGUGAAGUGGGAACAGAUAUAUCUCAGACACACAGAAGAAACAUGCUUACAUCUUCUAGUAGUUUAUCAAGAAUUGGUAGAGCUGGGGACUCUAUGAAAUCAAUCUUGUGCUCUACACCAGCCUUUUUGAUGACUGGCAAUCCAACUUCAUAAGCUUUUCUGUCAAUAUCUAUGGCUGUAAUCUGCAACAGCAAUGGAUUUUCAGGAAUGUUGAGAGCAGUGAGGAGAAGUGAGUACCCAGUAAACACUCCCACUUCUAUUGUCUUUUUGGGAUUCAACAGCUUCAGAAGUAAGGUGAUUAGUUGACCCGCAUCAGGUAA